GAUGAACGCUGGCGGCGUGCCUAAUACAUGCAAGUCGAGCGAACGGACGAGAAGCUUGCUUCUAUGAUGUUAGCGGCGGACGGGUGAGUAACACGUGGAUAACCUACCUAUAAGACUGGGAUAACUUCGGGAAACCGGAGCUAAUACCGGAUAAUAUUUUGAACCGCAUGGUUCAAAAGUGAAAGACGGUCUUGCUGUCACUUAUAGAUGGAUCCGCGCUGCAUUAGCUAGUUGGUAAGGUAACGGCUUACCAAGGCAACGAUGCAUAGCCGACCUGAGAGGGUGAUCGGCCACACUGGAGCUGAGACACGGUCCAGACUCCUACGGGAGGCAGCAGUAGGGAAUCUUCCGCAAUGGGCGAAAGCCUGACGGAGCAACGCCGCGUGAGUGAUGAAGGUCUUCGGAUCGUAAAACUCUGUUAUUAGGGAAGAACAUAUGUGUAAGUAACUGUGCACAUCUUGACGGUACCUAAUCAGAAAGCCACGGCUAACUACGU
This 496-nucleotide ribosomal RNA is filed under the name uncultured bacterium. Its description in RNAcentral is "partial 16S ribosomal RNA". It matches the Rfam family "Bacterial small subunit ribosomal RNA", at positions 28 to 506 of the family's 1533-position model. The record is from RNAcentral.